GAGAAUUGAGGGGGGCUGCUCCUAGUACGAGAGGACCGGAGUGGACGCAUCACUGGUGUUCGGGUUGUCAUGCCAAUGGCACUGCCCGGUAGCUAAAUGCGGAAGAGAUAAGUGCUGAAAGCAUCUAAGCACGAAACUUGCCCCGAGAUGAGUUCUCCCUGAGACUUUAAGUCUCCUGAAGGAACGUUGAAGACGACGACGUUGAUAGGUCGGGUGUGUAAGCGCAGCGAUGCGUUGAGCUAACCGAUACUAAUGAACCGUGAGGCUUAACCUU
RNAcentral lists this ribosomal RNA (274 nucleotides) under Enterobacter hormaechei. RNAcentral describes it as "partial 23S ribosomal RNA". It matches the Rfam family "Bacterial large subunit ribosomal RNA", at positions 2657 to 2925 of the family's 2925-position model. The record is from RNAcentral. Lineage: Bacteria; Pseudomonadati; Pseudomonadota; Gammaproteobacteria; Enterobacterales; Enterobacteriaceae.